UAGAAGAUCUAGGAGAGCGCCUUUUCCUUUUCUUCGCUCAUCCCUGGCCUCUCAACUGCAAAGUAAAAAUGUCAGGGAACAGAGAAUUUCAAAGUGGAAUUUCCCCACGGAGUAUUGAGAAAUUUGGAUGAUUUCUGUGGUUAUGGAGUACCCUUUCACCCUGAAGAGGCCUGGGGGCGAAGCGCCACCUAAUCAUAAUAAUUCACUGGUGUCUCAGGAACGUGGAGCACAGCAUUGGGAACUUAUACUGAGGAUAGAAUGGCACACAGUGCAAUGAAAUCUCUCAUGGGAAGAGAGCAAAUAAGUUACUAG
Sorex araneus (European shrew) is the source of this 312-nucleotide long non-coding RNA. RefSeq lists it as uncharacterized. Lineage: Eukaryota; Metazoa; Chordata; Mammalia; Eulipotyphla; Soricidae. The record is from RefSeq and is a predicted model, not a curated record. The transcript is spliced from 3 exons.